RNAcentral lists this ribosomal RNA (497 nucleotides) under uncultured bacterium. Its description in RNAcentral is "partial 16S ribosomal RNA". It matches the Rfam family "Bacterial small subunit ribosomal RNA", at positions 28 to 507 of the family's 1533-position model. The record is from RNAcentral.
GAUGAACGCUGGCGGCGUGCCUAAUACAUGCAAGUCGAGCGAACAGAUGAGGAGCUUGCUCCUCUGACGUUAGCGGCGGACGGGUGAGUAACACGUGGAUAACCUACCUAUAAGACUGGGAUAACUUCGGGAAACCGGAGUUAUCACCGGAAAAUAUAUUGAACCGCAUGGCUCAAUAGUGAAAGACGGUUUUGCUUUCACUUUUAGAUGGAUCCGAGUCGCAUUAGCUAGUUGGUAAGGUAACGGCUUAACAAGGCAACGAUGCGUAGCCGACCUGAGAGGGUGAUCGGGCACACUGGAGCUGAGACACGGUCCAGACUCCUACGGGAGGCAGCAGUAGAGAAUCUUCCGCAAUAGGCGAAAGCCUGACAGAGCAACGCCGCGUGAGUGAUGAAGGUCUUCGGAUCGUAAAACUCUGUUAUUAGGGAAGAACUAAUGUGUAAGGAACUAUGCACGUCUUGACGGUACCUAGUCAGAAAGCCACGGCUAACUACGUG